AACGAACGCUGGCGGCAUGCCUAACACAUGCAAGUCGAACGAGACCUUCGGGUCUAGUGGCGCACGGGUGCGUAACGCGUGGGAACCUGCCCUUAGGUUCGGAAUAACUCCCCGAAAGGGGUGCUAAUACCGGAUAAUGUCUUCGGACCAAAGAUUUAUCGCCUUUGGAUGGGCCCGCGUUGGAUUAGCUAGUUGGUAGGGUAAAAGCCUACCAAGGCGACGAUCCAUAGCUGGUCGGAGAGGAUGAUCAGCCACACUGGGACUGAGACACGGCCCAGACUCCUACGGGAGGCAGCAGUGGGGAAUAUUGGACAAUGGGCGAAAGCCUGAUCCAGCAAUGCCGCGUGAGUGAUGAAGGCCUUAGGGUUGUAAAGCUCUUUUACCCGGGAUGAUAAUGACAGUACCGGGAGAAUAAGCACCGGCUAACUCCGUG
This 433-nucleotide ribosomal RNA is filed under the name uncultured bacterium. RNAcentral describes it as "partial 16S ribosomal RNA". It matches the Rfam family "Bacterial small subunit ribosomal RNA", at positions 29 to 507 of the family's 1533-position model. The record is from RNAcentral.